This 1852-nucleotide long non-coding RNA is filed under the name Canis lupus dingo (dingo). RNAcentral's name for it is "lncRNA (ENSCAFG00020014513.1)". Lineage: Eukaryota; Metazoa; Chordata; Mammalia; Carnivora; Canidae. The record is from RNAcentral.
GGCCUCCCGGAGACCCGGAUGUGAAGCGGUGCGCGAUACAAAGGCGCGUUUCCACCCAGCGCUCCGUCAGGGACAGUGGCCAAUGAGCACGUCUCGGGUGAUAAGGGACAGGAAACGUAGCCAUUCACAAGCCAGCCCCUCUCACGCAUGUGGAAAUUCUCCUGCGUAGUCUAGCCUACUCCGCGUGGUGAUUGGGCAGAGCUGUGAAGAGCGGUAGCAAUGUCGAAUCAGCAGCGGGAGCGAGAAAAGUCGCAGCCAAUAGCAGGGCUCUAGGGAGCGGGGGGCGGGGCUAGGCCUUCGCCUCGGCGGCCGAGGAGACUCGGGGGCCAUUUUGUGAAGAGACGAAGGCUGAGCGGUCGCGGCCGCGUCGUCGCCCUCGAGCAGCACUUGGCUUCUCCACGUAGAACCCGGGAGUGGGAGAUUCAGAAUCGAAUCCCUUCUCCCUCCCCCCUCCUGGUUACAAAUCUCUUGAGAUAUAUAAGUUAGUGGAGCUUUGCUUUGAGGUAGGUACUCGGAUCUUCCUCAGACAGAAACCGAGAGGCCCCAGGGUGUCGGUUGCCAGGCUCCUUAACGUAUCCUAUGGGUAGCGGGGCUGCUAGGGCAGUUUGACCUGUGGGUCAUUCUCCGAGUGAUUUUUUUUCUUCUUAUUCUUAUUUUUUUUUUUUUUUUAUAAAUACCGAUAGCUGUUGGAAUAGGAGGUACCGACGGUACCGAAUUUGAAUCUUGCCGAGAACCGAAUUAAACCGUAGUCACUAGCGGGAACUGGAAAAUUUUCCAAAUUGCCCUUUGGGAAAAAUAUUUAAUUAUGAGAAUUGGCAGUUCUUAUUAAUUUGACAUUCUGAUCUGACCUUAAAAUUCGAUUUUCGGGAUAUUCUGCCAUUGAUUUUUUUUUCUCCAAAAUACCUAAAAAGUACGUAGGUCUACAUUUUCUGGGCUACGUAUUUUUUUUUUUUUUUUUUAAAUCUUGUACCUGUUGGCGAAGCCCUGAAACUUAGUAAAAACGUUGGCUGAAUUUACAUGAAUUACAUAGGUUUCAAAGUAAUAUCCCAUUCAUUUAAGAAAUCGCCGUUAUUUUUAAUAUUUGGUGGAAGAUAGAUAUUUAAUUUCAAUGUGUUCUCACAGGAAACGUUAAAGUUUAAACCGAUACUGCAGGAUAAAUUCAUCCCUUGGGAAACCGAUAGAAGGUAAAAGGUCUUUAAACCAGAAUAGUUGAGGCACCUGUCAGUUCCCUCACCAUGUAGAUACUGUAAUAGGGAUUAAAAGCAUUACUUUUUAGAAAGAAUGUAAACACAUUACGUGAGCUUAGCACCAAAGUUUAUCAUUGCAAAGCUGCUAGGAAUGAGGUAAGGGCAGUGAUUAGUUAGAUUAGGUCAGAAACCUAAUAAUGUUGGGAAAUGAGAAACGUAAGGAAUAAUAACAAUUGACAAAAAUUGAAAUGAAGGGAACUUCUCUUGCCUUGACUUGUUAGAAAUCAUGGGUUUCUUGAGAUCACCAUGUACCAAGGAAACCAUUCCUUUGGGUUAAUAUCCAUCUGGAAAGAUUUGACCGCAGAAUUAAACAAUUUUAGAGAUGUUUUCAGGUAGGUAGGCUUUAGUAGCAUUUUCAUCUGGCUGAAGAGGAUGGAUUUUAGGAUGACUAAAUUGUAAUCUGUGACCUUUUGUGUUUCCCAUGCUCGUUAUACUGGAAUGAAUGCUUGGUGGUGGUUGCCAUUCCUUCUGUAGAGAAAUUAAACAUUUCUUUUGUUUGUGGUUAGGGUUUUAGUGAGUUUCACUUAGCAUGCAACUUUAAGGUGGAAUUGCUGUAAGAACAAGCAAGGAAUAAAUCCAAAAUACUCUAAUAUUUAAAAUUAUAG